GGGUUGUGAGGUUAAGCGACUAAGCGUACACGGUGGAUGCCCUGGCAGUCAGAGGCGAUGAAGGACGUGCUAAUCUGCGAUAAGCGUCGGUAAGGUGAUAUGAACCGUUAUAACCGGCGAUUUCCGAAUGGGGAAACCCAGUGUGUUUCGACACACUAUCAUUAACUGAAUCCAUAGGUUAAUGAGGCGAACCGGGGGAACUGAAACAUCUAAGUACCCCGAGGAAAAGAAAUCAACCGAGAUUCCCCCAGUAGCGGCGAGCGAACGGGGAGCAGCCCAGAGCCUGAAUCAGUGUGUGUGUUAGUGGAAGCGUCUGGAAAGGCGCGCGAUACAGGGUGACAGCCCCGUACACAAAAAUGCACAUACUGUGAGCUCGAUGAGUAGGGCGGGACACGUGGUAUCCUGUCUGAAUAUGGGGGGACCAUCCUCCAAGGCUAAAUACUCCUGACUGACCGAUAGUGAACCAGUACCGUGAGGGAAAGGCGAAAAGAACCCCGGCGAGGGGAGUGAAAAAGAACCUGAAACCGUGUACGUACAAGCAGUGGGAGCACGCUUAGGCGUGUGACUGCGUACCUUUUGUAUAAUGGGUCAGCGACUUAUAUUCUGUAGCAAGGUUAACCGAAUAGGGGAGCCGAAGGGAAACCGAGUCUUAACUGGGCGUUAAGUUGCAGGGUAUAGACCCGAAACCCGGUGAUCUAGCCAUGGGCAGGUUGAAGGUUGGGUAACACUAACUGGAGGACCGAACCGACUAAUGUUGAAAAAUUAGCGGAUGACUUGUGGCUGGGGGUGAAAGGCCAAUCAAACCGGGAGAUAGCUGGUUCUCCCCGAAAGCUAUUUAGGUAGCGCCUCGUGAAUUCAUCUCCGGGGGUAGAGCACUGUUUCGGCAAGGGGGUCAUCCCGACUUACCAACCCGAUGCAAACUGCGAAUACCGGAGAAUGUUAUCACGGGAGACACACGGCGGGUGCUAACGUCCGUCGUGAAGAGGGAAACAACCCAGACCGCCAGCUAAGGUCCCAAAGUCAUGGUUAAGUGGGAAACGAUGUGGGAAGGCCCAGACAGCCAGGAUGUUGGCUUAGAAGCAGCCAUCAUUUAAAGAAAGCGUAAUAGCUCACUGGUCGAGUCGGCCUGCGCGGAAGAUGUAACGGGGCUAAACCAUGCACCGAAGCUGCGGCAGCGACACUAUGUGUUGUUGGGUAGGGGAGCGUUCUGUAAGCCUGUGAAGGUGUGCUGUGAGGCAUGCUGGAGGUAUCAGAAGUGCGAAUGCUGACAUAAGUAACGAUAAAGCGGGUGAAAAGCCCGCUCGCCGGAAGACCAAGGGUUCCUGUCCAACGUUAAUCGGGGCAGGGUGAGUCGACCCCUAAGGCGAGGCCGAAAGGCGUAGUCGAUGGGAAACAGGUUAAUAUUCCUGUACUUGGUGUUACUGCGAAGGGGGGACGGAGAAGGCUAUGUUGGCCGGGCGACGGUUGUCCCGGUUUAAGCGUGUAGGCUGGUUUUCCAGGCAAAUCCGGAAAAUCAAGGCUGAGGCGUGAUGACGAGGCACUACGGUGCUGAAGCAACAAAUGCCCUGCUUCCAGGAAAAGCCUCUAAGCAUCAGGUAACAUCAAAUCGUACCCCAAACCGACACAGGUGGUCAGGUAGAGAAUACCAAGGCGCUUGAGAGAACUCGGGUGAAGGAACUAGGCAAAAUGGUGCCGUAACUUCGGGAGAAGGCACGCUGAUAUGUAGGUGAAGUCCCUCGCGGAUGGAGCUGAAAUCAGUCGAAGAUACCAGCUGGCUGCAACUGUUUAUUAAAAACACAGCACUGUGCAAACACGAAAGUGGACGUAUACGGUGUGACGCCUGCCCGGUGCCGGAAGGUUAAUUGAUGGGGUCAGCGCAAGCGAAGCUCUUGAUCGAAGCCCCGGUAAACGGCGGCCGUAACUAUAACGGUCCUAAGGUAGCGAAAUUCCUUGUCGGGUAAGUUCCGACCUGCACGAAUGGCGUAAUGAUGGCCAGGCUGUCUCCACCCGAGACUCAGUGAAAUUGAACUCGCUGUGAAGAUGCAGUGUACCCGCGGCAAGACGGAAAGACCCCGUGAACCUUUACUAUAGCUUGACACUGAACAUUGAGCCUUGAUGUGUAGGAUAGGUGGGAGGCUUUGAAGUGUGGACGCCAGUCUGCAUGGAGCCGACCUUGAAAUACCACCCUUUAAUGUUUGAUGUUCUAACGUUGACCCGUAAUCCGGGUUGCGGACAGUGUCUGGUGGGUAGUUUGACUGGGGCGGUCUCCUCCUAAAGAGUAACGGAGGAGCACGAAGGUUGGCUAAUCCUGGUCGGACAUCAGGAGGUUAGUGCAAUGGCAUAAGCCAGCUUGACUGCGAGCGUGACGGCGCGAGCAGGUGCGAAAGCAGGUCAUAGUGAUCCGGUGGUUCUGAAUGGAAGGGCCAUCGCUCAACGGAUAAAAGGUACUCCGGGGAUAACAGGCUGAUACCGCCCAAGAGUUCAUAUCGACGGCGGUGUUUGGCACCUCGAUGUCGGCUCAUCACAUCCUGGGGCUGAAGUAGGUCCCAAGGGUAUGGCUGUUCGCCAUUUAAAGUGGUACGCGAGCUGGGUUUAGAACGUCGUGAGACAGUUCGGUCCCUAUCUGCCGUGGGCGCUGGAGAACUGAGGGGGGCUGCUCCUAGUACGAGAGGACCGGAGUGGACGCAUCACUGGUGUUCGGGUUGUCAUGCCAAUGGCACUGCCCGGUAGCUAAAUGCGGAAGAGAUAAGUGCUGAAAGCAUCUAAGCACGAAACUUGCCCCGAGAUGAGUUCUCCCUGACUCCUUGAGAGUCCUGAAGGAACGUUGAAGACGACGACGUUGAUAGGCCGGGUGUGUAAGCGCAGCGAUGCGUUGAGCUAACCGGUACUAAUGAACCGUGAGGCUUAACCUUACAACGCCGAAGGUGUUU
RNAcentral lists this ribosomal RNA (2930 nucleotides) under Escherichia coli. RNAcentral's name for it is "bacterial LSU rRNA". It matches the Rfam family "Bacterial large subunit ribosomal RNA". Lineage: Bacteria; Pseudomonadati; Pseudomonadota; Gammaproteobacteria; Enterobacterales; Enterobacteriaceae. The record is from RNAcentral.